Non-coding RNA from Podarcis lilfordi (Lilford's wall lizard), 109 nucleotides. The record is from the annotation of a GenBank genome assembly. NCBI's taxonomy places the organism in Eukaryota, Metazoa, Chordata, Lepidosauria, Squamata, Lacertidae.
AACUAAGUUUGUUAUUGGUAUGAGCUUUCGUGUGCAUGCACACUGUUUCAGUGUAUCUGAAGAAGUUUGCAUGCACACGAAAGCUCAUACCAAUAACAAACUUAGCUGG